GAUGAACGCUGGCGGCGUGCCUAAUGCAUGCAAGUCGAGCGAAUAGAUCAGGAGCUUGCUCCUUUGACGUUAGCGGCGGACGGGUGAGUAACACGUGUGUAACCUACCUAUAAGACUGGGAUAACUUCGGGAAACCGGAGCUAAUACCGGAUAACAUUUGGAACCGCAUGGUUCUAAGGUGAAAGAUGGUUUUGCUAUCACUUAUAGAUGGACCCGCGCCGUAUUAGCUAGUUGGUAAGGUAACGGCUUACCAAGGCGACGAUACGUAGCCGACCUGAGAGGGUGAUCGGCGACACUGGAACUGAGACACGGUCCAGACUCCUACGGGAGGCAGCAGUAGGGAAUCUUCCGCAAUAGGCGAAAGCCUGACGGAGCAACGCCGCGUGAGUGAUGAAGGGUUUCGGCUCGUAAAACUCUGUUAUUAGGGAAGAACAAAUGUGUAAGUAACUGUGCACGUCUUGACGGUACCUAAUCAGAAAGCCACGGCUAACUACGUG
Molecule: ribosomal RNA, 497 nt
Filed under: uncultured bacterium
Lineage: Bacteria
Description: partial 16S ribosomal RNA
Rfam family: Bacterial small subunit ribosomal RNA
Source: RNAcentral